UUGAAAGGGAAACGAUUGAAGUCAGUCUUGCCGGCGCGAAAUCAGCUUGACCGGUAGAAGAUCACAGGCUGUGGCGAGCCUCAAAACCGCCACAACUUGUGCUUUUCUGCCGGCCUCGUGCACUUUCGUGUCGGCUGGUUAACAUCAAUUUCGAUCGUCAUAAAAAGGCUGGAGGGAUGUGGCUCCUUCGGGAGUGUUAUAACCUUUGGCGGAAUGUGGUGGUCGGGAUUGAGGUUUGCAACGAAUACCUUCAGGGCUGUUCCACCUGGCCUCUCAUCAG
This 280-nucleotide ribosomal RNA is filed under the name uncultured Glomeromycotina. RNAcentral's name for it is "partial 28S ribosomal RNA". Lineage: Eukaryota; Fungi; Glomeromycota. The record is from RNAcentral.